This 262-nucleotide long non-coding RNA is filed under the name Elaeis guineensis (African oil palm). RNAcentral's name for it is "long non-coding RNA (EGUI_LNC064406)". The record is from RNAcentral. Lineage: Eukaryota; Viridiplantae; Streptophyta; Magnoliopsida; Arecales; Arecaceae.
UAUGUUGAUGGAGCCAUCCGUGUGCUUGAUCGGAUCUUGUUGGACGGUCCAAUUUUGUCGGAUCUUCUGCCACCUAUUGAAGUACUCCACGCUACUCCAUUGGUCACAGAGGGCCUCCGAUAUGUCUGUUUGCAUCUAGUGAUCCCUGUAGGACCUCUAGUUUGAUGUUGACUGAAAAUUAGAAUGCUCGAUAGUGGAUUGCCUAAGGCUAUAUAGCCCAUCUCGAACUAAAAGUCAAGUCGACUUGGUAGGCAUGCCAGCC